This 274-nucleotide ribosomal RNA is filed under the name uncultured bacterium. RNAcentral describes it as "partial 16S ribosomal RNA". It matches the Rfam family "Bacterial small subunit ribosomal RNA", at positions 523 to 796 of the family's 1533-position model. The record is from RNAcentral.
AUACGGAGGGUGCAAGCGUUACUCGGAAUCACUGGGCGUAAAGCGCGCGCAGGCGGCUAUUUAAGUUGGAUGGGAAAGCCUACGGCUCAACCGUAGAACUGCAUCCAGAACUAUUUAGCUAGAGUGUGGGAGAGGAAGAUGGAAUUAGUUGUGUAGGGGUAAAAUCCGUAGAGAUAACUAGGAAUACCAAAAGCGAAGGCAAUCUUCUGGAACACUACUGACGCUGAGGCGCGAAAGCGUGGGGAGCAAACAGGAUUAGAAACCCCAGUAGUCC